Meriones unguiculatus (Mongolian gerbil) is the source of this 130-nucleotide small nucleolar RNA. Lineage: Eukaryota; Metazoa; Chordata; Mammalia; Rodentia; Muridae. The record is from Ensembl.
CAUUCCUAGAGGCAGUGCAGGCAUGACUGCUGAGUCAUAUGUGUGUCAGCACCUGGCAGAGAAGAGAGAGGCUGUGUCUACACUCAGUGUUCUGACCUGUAAACAUCUGAAUGAUUAGUAGCCUAACAUU